This 530-nucleotide long non-coding RNA is filed under the name Salmo salar (Atlantic salmon). RNAcentral describes it as "lncRNA (ENSSSAG00000108433.1)". Lineage: Eukaryota; Metazoa; Chordata; Actinopteri; Salmoniformes; Salmonidae. The record is from RNAcentral.
CGUUGUAUAGCAUAAAUCAUUAGGGCCUUUUUUAACCAGAACAUGAAUAAUAUUCAAGGUGGACGAAUGCAUACUCUUUUAUAACGUAUUGGAACGAGGGUACCCAACAUGAACUCGCGCGCCAGGUGUCUAAUGGGACAUCAUCGUUCCAUGGCUCUUGUUCGGUCAGAUCUCCCUCCAGAAGACUCAAAACACUUUGUAAAGGCUGGUGACAUCUAGUGGAAGCAAUAGGAAGUGCCAAAAUAUUCCUCAGCCCCUGUGUUUUUCAAUGGGAUAGGUUUAAAGGUAAUACAACACAUCAGGUAUCCACUUCCUGUCAGAAAAUGUCUCGGGGUUUUGCCUGCCAAAUGAGUUCUGUUAUACUCACAGACACCAUUCAAACAGUUUUGGAAACUUUAGAGUGUUUUCUAUCCAUAUAUAAUAAGUAUAUGCAUAUUCUAGUUACUGGGUAGGAUUAGUAACCAGAUUAAAUCGGGUACAUUUUUUUUAUCCAGACGUGCAAAUGCUGCCCCCUAGACCCAACAGGUUAA